GAGCGGCGGACUGGUGAGUAACGCGUGGAUAACCUGCCUCACACAGGGGGAUAACAGUUAGAAAUGACUGCUAAUACCGCAUAAGCGCACGGUACCGCAUGGUACAGUGUGAAAAACUCCGGUGGUGUGAGAUGGAUCCGCGUCUGAUUAGGUAGUUGGUGAGGUAACGGCCCACCAAGCCGACGAUCAGUAGCCGACCUGAGAGGGUGACCGGCCACAUUGGGACUGAGAUACGGCCCAGACUCCUACGGGAGGCAGCAGUGGGGAAUUUUGCGCAAUGGGGGAAACCCUGACGCAGCAACGCCGCGUGCGGGACGAAGGCCUUCGGGUUGUAAACCGCUUUCAGCAGGGAAGACAUAGACGGUACCUGCAGAAGAAGCUCCGGCUAACUACGUGCCAGCAGCCGCGGUAAUACGUAGGGGGCGAGCGUUAUCCGGAUUCAUUGGGCGUAAAGCGCGCGUAGGCGGCCGCCUAAGCGGAACCUCUAAUCCCGGGGCUCAACCUCGGGCCGGGUUCCGGACUGGGCGGCUCGAGUGCGGUAGAGGCAGGCGGAAUUCCCGGUGUAGCGGUGGAAUGCGCAGAUAUCGGGAAGAACACCGAUGGCGAAGGCAGCCUGCUGGGCCGCCACUGACGCUGAGGCGCGAAAGCUGGGGGAGCGAACAGGAUUAGAUACCCUGGUAGUCCCAGCCGUAAACGAUGGACGCUAGGUGGUGGGGGGACCAUCCCCCCGUGCCGCAACCCAACGCAUUAAAGCGUCCCCGCCUGGGGGAGUACGGCCGCAAGGGUAAAACUCAAAGGAAUUGGACGGGGAACCCCCACAAGCGGGGGGAGCAUGUGGUUUAAUUCGAAGCAACUCGAAGAACCUUACCAGGGCUUGACAUAUGGGUGAAGCGGGGGAGACCCCGUGGCCGAGAGGAGCCCAUACAGGUGGUGCAUGGCUGUCGUCAGCUCGUGUCGUGAGAUGUUGGGUUAAGUCCCGCAACGAGCGCAACCCCCGCCGCGUGUUGCCAUCGGGUGAUGCCGGGAACCCACGCGGGACCGCCGCCGUCAAGGCGGAGGAGGGCGGGGACGACGUCAAGUCAUCAUGCCCCUUAUGCCCUGGGCUGCACACGUGCUACAAUGGCCGGUACAGAGGGAUGCCACCCCGCGAGGGGGAGCGGAUCCCGGAAAGCCGGCCCCAGUUCGGAUUGGGGGCUGCAACCCGCCCCCAUGAAGUCGGAGUUGCUAGUAAUCGCGGAUCAGCAUGUCGCGGUGAAUGCGUUCCCGGGCCUUGCACUCACCGCCCGUCA
This 1289-nucleotide ribosomal RNA is filed under the name uncultured bacterium. RNAcentral's name for it is "bacterial SSU rRNA". It matches the Rfam family "Bacterial small subunit ribosomal RNA", at positions 93 to 1399 of the family's 1533-position model. The record is from RNAcentral.